UUAAUGCCAAUGUUACAUUUUUAGUUUCUUAAAUAUGAAUAAUUUAAAAAGAAUUUGUUUAUUCCAGUUCUCACAUAGCUGUAGUCAUUAUUUACUGAUACAAUAGUGUUAAGAAAGUAAAAGCUCGAUUACAAAUAACGACACUAAUAAAAACAUGGCGGGAAUUAUCAUUGAUGUUAGCAUGAUAGGCUAACUAAUGUCAACUUUUUAAGUAAAAACUAGUUAGCCUGCUUUACUAUGGAAGGAAAUUAGCCUAGCUUGCUAGCAUUGACUUUUUGAUUCAAAUAACAGUUUAUCUGCCCUGUAACCAACUUUUGAAAAGAGAGCAGAUAAAGAUUUAAUAAGUAAAUUUGAGGGUUUUUUGUUUUCUAAUGUUCCUUUAACAUUUACAUAAUAUUUCAGGGUUAUUAUAGCUGUUUGUUUGUUUUUUUUAUUUAACCUAAUUUAACCUGAGCUGAUUGAGAGAUUGUGUUUCAGGUAUUGGUUAUUUUCCAGUAUAAUAAAUUAAAAGGUUUUCUCAGUGAUGGUUUAGGUAUCUGUCAAACGAAAUCUCAGAAAUCUCACAGGUCUGAGUGACAAAAUGGACUAAUGGCCAUAGAAACUUGUAUUUAGAGCAACUCUUUCCAUCAUGUGCAUUGACCUUCUUUAUUUGGGAAAACAUAACAUUUUUGUCACCAGUGAAAAUGUGAAUACUUUGUUAUUGUUGCCGCCUUUUUAAAGGAAAAGCAGACACGUGAGUGCGGAGGGGGGGUGUUUCUAUUUCUCACCUGACAUGCAUGAUCUCACCCCUCCGUCCACCCAAUCCUGUGUGGCACUGAACACCCUGCACCCUUUCAUGUACAUCGAUGUGAAAUUUGUACAUAAAAAAAAACACAACACUUACUACCUUUUUUGGGUGGAAGUGGGAUUUUUUUCCCCUUUUUUUUACCAUUUGAUUGUUAUAUUUAAACACUUUCUUUUCUUAAAAGUCACAUUUAGUGGUUUCUUUCGAGUGGGAUGUAUUUAUUUGUUUUAUUUAAUUAUUUUCUGUAAGGAGAGUGCAAUCAUCACUGUAGGCCAGUAACUCCAUGCUUUUAUUAAACUGAAUUAUGACUAUGAUCAUUAAAGCAUGUGUUCCAAUGGGCCUGUGUACAAUAAAAUGUAAAAUGAUUGGUCUUUUAAAGCAAUGCCAUGUAGGCAUGAAA
Long non-coding RNA from Astatotilapia calliptera (eastern happy), 1184 nucleotides. The record is from Ensembl. Lineage: Eukaryota; Metazoa; Chordata; Actinopteri; Cichliformes; Cichlidae.